CACAAGCGGUGGAGUAUGUGGUUUAAUUCGAUGCAACGCGAAGAACCUUACCUGGUCUUGACAUCCCGGAGACCCUUAGGAACUAGGGGUGCUUCCAUCUGGAAGAAUCUGGAGACAGGUGCUGCAUGGCUGUCGUCAGCUCGUGUCGUGAGAUGUUGGGUUUAAGUCCCGCAACGAGCGCAACCCUUGCCUUUAGUUGCCAGCAGUUCGGCUGGGCACUCUAAAGGGACUGCCGGUGUUAAACCGGAGGAAGGUGGGGAUGACGUCAAGUCCUCAUGGCCUUUAUGACCAGGGCUACACACGUACUACAAUGGCCGAUACAAAGGGCAGCGACACUGCGAGGUGAAGCCAAUCCCGUAAAAUCGGUCUCAGUCCGGAUUGGAGUCUGCAACUCGACUCCAUGAAGUUGGAAUCGCUAGUAAUCGUGGAUCAGCAUGCCACGGUGAAUACGUUCCCGGGCCUU
This 463-nucleotide ribosomal RNA is filed under the name uncultured Desulfobulbus sp. RNAcentral describes it as "bacterial SSU rRNA". It matches the Rfam family "Bacterial small subunit ribosomal RNA", at positions 924 to 1382 of the family's 1533-position model. The record is from RNAcentral. Lineage: Bacteria; Pseudomonadati; Thermodesulfobacteriota; Desulfobulbia; Desulfobulbales; Desulfobulbaceae.